CUUAACUGGACCACAGGAUGCCCAGACUUUUAGCCAAACAUUAUCCUGUGUGUGUCUGGGAGACUGUUUCUGGAUGACAUGGACAUUUGAAUCCAUAGACUGAGUAAAGCAGAUUGCCCUCCCGAAUGGAGGUAGGCCUCAUCUAGUGAGGUGAAGACGUGACUACAAUGAAAAGGCUGAGUAAGAGGGAAUGCGUCCUACCUGACUUGUUUGAGUUGGGAUCAUGGUCUUUCUCAGCCUUCAGACUCGGACUGAAACAGCAGCUCUUCUUGGAUCUCCAGCCUGCCGACUUUCAGCUUGGAACUUAUGCCAUCAGCUCUCAUGGUUCUCAGACCUUCAGACUUGAACUAGAACUACAAACCAGUUUUCCUGGGUCUCCAACUUGUGGACUGCACGUCUUGGGACUUCUCAGCCUCCCUAAUUGUACUUUGCCCUGAACUGGGAGGCAGAAAAUCUAGGAUCUAGCUCUGGUCCUGUCUGCAGAAAGCGAGGAAUAAAAAGUGAUACUCAGCAGGUCAUAUAUCUCUGGUUAUGGCGAUCAGUUCUCUCUGCUAUCAAGGAUUAUGUGAAGAACUUCAUAUUAUCCAAAUAUGGUGUUUCCAUGUGUGCUCCAUCACAGUCAUGGUCACAGAUUUCCAGGUUUUAGGUUCCAGGUUCCUGUGCCAGCCUUCAUUUAGGG
RNAcentral lists this long non-coding RNA (679 nucleotides) under Equus asinus (donkey). RNAcentral describes it as "lncRNA (ENSEASG00005028765.1)". Lineage: Eukaryota; Metazoa; Chordata; Mammalia; Perissodactyla; Equidae. The record is from RNAcentral.